Molecule: ribosomal RNA, 468 nt
Filed under: uncultured bacterium
Lineage: Bacteria
Description: partial 16S ribosomal RNA
Rfam family: Bacterial small subunit ribosomal RNA
Source: RNAcentral
GACGAACGCUGGCGGCGUGCCUAACACAUGCAAGUCGAACGGAAAGGCCCUGCUUUUGCGGGGUGCUCGAGUGGCGAACGGGUGAGUAACACGUGAGUAACCUGCCCUUGACUUUGGGAUAACUUCAGGAAACUGGGGCUAAUACCGGCUAGGAGCUCCUGCUGCAUGGUGGGGGUUGGAAAGUUUCGGCGGUUGGGGAUGGACUCGCGGCUUAUCAGCUUGUUGGUGGGGUAGUGGCUUACCAAGGCUUUGACGGGUAGCCGGCCUGGGAGGGUGACCGGCCACAUGGGGACUGAGAUACGGCCCAGUCUCGUACGGGAGGCAGCAGGGGAGAAUAUUGCACAAUGGUCGGAAGCCUGAUGCAGCGGCGCCGCGUUCGUGAUGACGGCCUUCGGGUUGUAAACCGCUGUCGCCUGUGACGAAGCGUGAGUGACGGUAAUGGGUAAAGAAGCACCGGCUAACUACGUG